RNAcentral lists this unclassified non-coding RNA (694 nucleotides) under Hevea brasiliensis (rubber tree). The record is from RNAcentral. Lineage: Eukaryota; Viridiplantae; Streptophyta; Magnoliopsida; Malpighiales; Euphorbiaceae.
GUUGAAGCCUCCUGGUGAAUUGGGGGCUGAUAUUGUUGUUGGAUCAGCUCAGAGGUUUGGUGUUCCAAUGGGAUAUGGAGGUCCUCAUGCAGCAUUUUUGGCUACCUCACAAGAGUACAAAAGGUUGAUGCCUGGAAGAAUUAUUGGCGUUAGUGUUGAUUCUUCUGGGAAGCCUGCUCUGCGUAUGGCGAUGCAAACCAGGGAGCAGCAUAUUCGCAGGGACAAGGCUACCAGUAACAUCUGCACUGCUCAAGCCUUGCUUGCAAACAUGGCUGCUAUGUAUGCUGUCUAUCAUGGACCUGAAGGCCUUAAAGCCAUCGCACAAAGAGUUCAUGGUCUUGCUGGAGCCUUUGCUCUUGGACUGAAGAAACUGGGAACAGUGGAAGUCCAGGGCCUUCCCUUCUUUGACACUGUAAAAGUUAAGGGUGUUAAUGCACAUGCAGUAACUGAUGCUGCAUACAAAAGUGAGAUAAACUUGCGAGUCGUAGACGCAAAUACUAUCACUGUUUCCUUUGAUGAAACAACCACCCUGGAGGAUGUUGAUAAACUUUUCAAAGUUUUUGCCAGUGGCAAGCCUGUCCCAUUCACUGCUGCAUCUCUGGCAUCAGAAGUUCAGAAUGCAAUCCCUGGUGAACUAAAAAGGGAUAGCCCAUUCCUGACCCACACAAUCUUUAACACGUACCAUACAGAGCAU